GGACUGUUGGCAUUGGUAAUAUAUUGGGUUGGCCAAAAAGUUCAUUAGGGUUUUUCCAUACCAUCUUAUGAACUUCUUGGCCAACCCAAUA
RNAcentral lists this microRNA precursor (91 nucleotides) under Ovis aries (sheep). RNAcentral's name for it is "miRNA (ENSOARG00000024185.1)". The record is from RNAcentral. Lineage: Eukaryota; Metazoa; Chordata; Mammalia; Artiodactyla; Bovidae.